This is a non-coding RNA of Castor canadensis (American beaver), 3293 nucleotides long. The record is from RefSeq and is a predicted model, not a curated record. Lineage: Eukaryota; Metazoa; Chordata; Mammalia; Rodentia; Castoridae.
UUCAGAAAUAUCAGUAUGUGACCAAGUAGAAAUUAGAUAUUCAUGAGAAUCAUUUUGUGCAAAACUAAAUUAUAGAUUCUUUAUUACUCUUCAUCAACUCCUUAAAUUAAGAAAAACUAAUAAUUUCAUAAUACUAGACAGAAGUUUUGAAAUUAUUUUAUUUAACACAUCUUUUUAUGGUUUGAGAUGAGGAAUCUGAAGGUCCAGAAAAGAGAAAGAGCUUCCUACUUAAGAGUGAAAUUGUGCCUAAAACAAAGUCUUCUGUCUAAAGCCUUUCUAAUACAUCAUCUUGGAAUGUAAUUUAUAAGUAGUAGUGUCUGUGUGGGGGGGUGCGUAUGAAAUAAGGAAUUUGCUUUUUCUUUUCUUAAUUGACAAAUAGUAAUUAUAUAUAUUUAUAAAGUACAGAGUGACAUUUUGAAACAGGUAUACAACAUAAGAUGAUUAAAUCUGAGUAACUAGCAUUUCCAUCUUCUUAAAUAUUUCUAAUUUCUUCAGGGACCAAUGAGGAAAAGCAUCAUUUUCAAAAGCAAAUAAAAGCGAUGUUUAAUCUGAAGAAAGCAUGCUCAUGAUUGGAAGAGAUAUGUUCUUAAAGGUACUGGAGGUUUCUGAGGAGGAAGGAGCCACCGCCAUUUUGGGAGCUUCGAGUCAACAAUAAAGGGCUGAGGGUGCCGAGCGGGAGUGGCCUCAGUGAUUGAACUGAGUGAAUUCAGAUAUAACUCAAGCUUGUUGUUUGAGGGCUUAAAAAAAAAAGUUGAUUCGGUGCAUGAGAGCAAGUUACUGCUGCUUACUGUUCAGAGACUUACAGGUACUUGCCUGCAUUGCAAUAAAGGACUCAUAUAUUGAGCAAGACUUAUAUUUAUCUCUUCAUUUUGGAGAACCUAAUGAACUGUUAUUACAGUUUCUCUACUGACUUUCAAGUUUUGAAGUUUGAAAGAGACACCUUUGCAAUUAACACAGCAUGAGCAAGGCCAGAACAGAGAACCGUUAUAAUGGGUCUGUCCAGUCAAAAUGGUCAGCUGAGGGGCCCUGUGAAGCCCAGUGGUGGCCCUGGAGGAGGGGGCACACACACAGCAACAGACGAACCAGUUGAAAAACACCAACACAAUCAAUAAUGGCACUCAACAGAAAGCACAGAGUAUGACCACCACUAUUAAACCAGGUGAUGACUGAAAAAAGACUUUAAAACUCCCUCCAAAGGAUCUAAGAAUCAAAACUUCGGAUGUGACCUCCACAAAAGGAAAUGAGUUUGAAGAUUACUGUUUGAAAUGGGAGUUACUGAUGGGAAUUUUUGAAAUGGGCUGGGAAAAGCCAUCUCCUAUUCAGGAGGAGAGCAUUCCCAUUGCUUUAUCUGAUAGGGAUAUCUUAUCUAGAGCAAAAAAUGGAACAGGCAAGAGCGGUGCCUACCUCAUUCCCUUACUUGAACGGCUAGACCUGAAGAAGGACAAUAUUCAAGCAAUGGUGAUUGUUCCCACUAGAGAACUUGUUCUACAGGUCAGUCAAAUUUGCACCAGGUCAGCAAACACAUGGGAGGGGCCAAAGUGAUGGCAACCACAGGAGGAAUCAAUUUACGGGAUGACAUAAUGAGGCUUGAUGAUACAGUACAUGUGGUCAUCACUACCCCUGGCAGAAUCCUGGAUCUUAUCAAGAAAGGAGUAGCAAAGGUUGAUCAUGUCCAGAUGAUAGUAUUGGAUGAGGCAGAUAAGUUGCUGUCACAGGAUUUUGUGCAGAUAAUGGAAGAUAUUAUUCUCACGCUACCUAAAAACAGGCAGAUUUUACUGUAUUCCGCUACUUUCCCUCUUAGUGUGCAGAAGUUCAUGAAUUCCCAUUUGCAGAAACCCUAUGAGAUUAACCUGAUGGAGGAACUAACUCUGAAGGGAGUAACCCAGUACUAUGCAUAUGAAACUGAGAGCCAAAAAGUACACUGCCUCAUUACACUUUUCUCUAGGCUUCAGAUAAACCAGUCGAUCAUUUUCUGUAACUCUUCUCAGCAAGUUGAAUUGUUAGCCAAGAAGAUUUCUCAGCUGGGUUACUCUUGCUUCUACAUCCAUGCUAAAAUGAGGCAGGAACAUCGAAAUCGUGUGUUUCAUGAUUUCCGAAAUGGCUUAUGCUGCAAUCUUGUUUGCACUGAUCUGUUUACCCGAGGUAUUGAUAUACAAGCUGUGAAUGUGGUAAUAAAUUUUGACUUCUCAAAGCUGGCGGAGACCUAUCUUCAUCAUAUUGGAAGAUCAGAUCGCUUUGGACAUCUUGGCUUAGCCAUCAACUUGAUCACCUAUGAUGAUCACUUCAACCUGAAAAGUAUUGAGGAGCAGCUGGGAACAGAAAUUAAACCUAUUCCAAGCAACAUUGACAAGAGCCUAUAUGUGGCAGAAUACCACAGCAAGCCUGUAGAAGAUGAGAAACCUUAAGAAGCAUGCUUUGAAAAACUACAGAAGGCUCCUUGGAUCUGCCACACAUUUUUGGGGGGAUGCUCUUCUCUUUGUGGGUUUUUCAUCUUUUUUUUGUUUUUUGUUUUUUGUUUUUUUGAAACUAUGAAGAAUUAAAAAAGAGCUCAGACAUUUUUCUUUUUUUAACUGGUGAAGAGAAAAAACUGAAAAGAAAUAUACCUUUUUUGUUCCAUUUGUUUGCACUGUGUGUUGACUGAACAUUAGUUGCACUAACUGCUGGUUUUUAAAAAAUGUUUUCUGGGGAAAGGGGACAAGGAAGGAGGAAAAAGAAGAGAAGGAGAGAAACCCUAAAAAGAGAAGACUCUUAUUCUUGAUGAACACACAAGUUCAUCUACAUCUUCAGAAUUCUUCAACAGCUGACUUUCGAGUGCAUUUCAACUUCUCCCUGAUUAUCCAUCUGUUUUUAAGCCCAAAGAGCUUAUUACUUAUUUGUGCCUUAUGCUAUGAGAACAUUCAGAAUAUCAUCUUUUAGACACAGCCCAAGGAAUCAACAAAAUAAUUUUUUUUUCUUUUUAAAAUUUUUGUCUGUUCAUUUUGGUUUCAAGUUGAAGUGUCUCUCUUCCCAUUCUACCCAGUUCUACCCAGUACUCGAGCCCAGGGCUGGAAGAUGAAACUUACUAGUAACAUUAAACACCAUUAUCUUUUUCUGUACGUGGAGGAGUUGAUAUGCAACUGCGGUUCAUCCGCACUGUAAAUACAUGUAUUUAAAAAACAAUCUGGGCUGAGUAGAUACAACACCUUCGCUCCCAAAGGAAAGAGCAGUCUAUCAUUGCAGGAGCCAUAUGACAAGCCUUUGUGCUCUAUUGCAGAACACUAAAGAGUGGUUUACAUAUGCCUCCAUUAGCAGUA